UCAGGCCUAACACAUGCAAGUCGAACGGCAGCACGGGUGCUUGCACCUGGUGGCGAGUGGCGAACGGGUGAGUAAUACAUCGGAACGUACCUUAUCGUGGGGGAUAACGCAGCGAAAGCUGUGCUAAUACCGCAUACGCCCUGAGGGGGAAAGCGGGGGAUCGCAAGACCUCGCGCGAUUAGAGCGGCCGAUGCCUGAUUAGCUAGUUGGUGGGGUAAAAGCCCACCAAGGCGACGAUCAGUAGCUGGUCUGAGAGGACGAUCAGCCACACUGGGACUGAGACACGGCCCAGACUCCUACGGGAGGCAGCAGUGGGGAAUUUUGGACAAUGGGGGCAACCCUGAUCCAGCAAUGCCGCGUGAGUGAAGAAGGCCUUCGGGUUGUAAAGCUCGUUGUCAGGGAAGAAACACCGGCUCUAACACAGUCCGGGA
This 431-nucleotide ribosomal RNA is filed under the name uncultured bacterium. Its description in RNAcentral is "bacterial SSU rRNA". It matches the Rfam family "Bacterial small subunit ribosomal RNA", at positions 42 to 469 of the family's 1533-position model. The record is from RNAcentral.